UGUGUUAGGGGAAAAACCCUAAGUCAUAUAUCCACAGAGGCGCUCGGCCGAAGAGCGCCGACCGGAAAGCUGCUCGGCCAAAGGAUGCCGACCAGGAAGGCGCUCGACUAGAGGGCGUCGACCAGAGUGCGCGCCAAGAGGUGCCCAACCAAAAUAAGCUGCUCGGUUAGAAAGUGCCGACCAAAGACAGCGCCGAGGCGCUCUGCUAGAAGGUGCUCGCCUAAAG
This 226-nucleotide long non-coding RNA is filed under the name Phoenix dactylifera (date palm). RNAcentral's name for it is "long non-coding RNA (PDAC_LNC019218)". The record is from RNAcentral. Lineage: Eukaryota; Viridiplantae; Streptophyta; Magnoliopsida; Arecales; Arecaceae.